GAAUACGGUCAGAGGCUCUUCAAAUUCUACCAUCAAGCCAUGUUCUCUUUCCAUUGGCCUGCCCCGUCCUUGCCUUCCCCAUCUCAGGAUUUAAAUACCACUGAAAUUGUAUUCUCAAACUUGAUUGUAGUUAAAAGUAAUGAUCUCAUACAGCCAGGGACUAGCUAUGAAGCAUUAGGCUAAUGGUUUAAUCUCUCUGCCACCUAUUUUCUUCUAUCACCCACCAGCAGGCAAUUCCAGGCUCCUACCUUCGAUUACUAGAUUUCUGAUUGGUGAGCAGACCAAACCAGACCUGCUUCUGUACUCUCAACCAUCUUCAUGCUGUUUCUCUACUAACCAUUCUCUUCCUACUAGAACUCUGGAAACAAUAAUCAAAUCAACAAAGCCAAAUCACUCCUUUUUGGCCACUUUUCUCCCAUGUGAGCUGUCUUCUGCUAUUGGAAGUUCCAUCCAUAAUCAAGUGGAUAGUCAGUGGAAGAGGCGAUCUGGAUUAUCUGCUGAAGCUGUGGCAAAUGGGAAACCAGACAGACAUCAUUAGCUCUUCUGACAAACUGAUCAGCAGGUAGGAGGAUUCCUGGCUCUUCACCAUCAUCUUGACACUCCAGAACACGCUGGAUACAAUCUCGCUUUUAAUCUUUCCUAAAAUGUGAAAUUCCCAAAAGCCAGUCAACCCAACCCACGCAGCUGUUAUUAAAUACCUACAGUAUACAAGGUACUAAGCUAGAAUGUAUGUAUAAUUCAAUAUUUAAUAUGAAAAUGAAACUGAAAAAUGAAAUAAAAUGAAAAUGGAAAAA
Sarcophilus harrisii (Tasmanian devil) is the source of this 794-nucleotide long non-coding RNA. RefSeq lists it as uncharacterized. The transcript is spliced from 3 exons. The record is from RefSeq and is a predicted model, not a curated record. NCBI's taxonomy places the organism in Eukaryota, Metazoa, Chordata, Mammalia, Dasyuromorphia, Dasyuridae.